AGCUAGAGUAUGGGAGAGGAUGGUAGAAUUCCAGGUGUAGCGGUGAAAUGCGUAGAGAUCUGGAGGAAUACCGAUGGCGAAGGCAGCCAUCUGGCCUAAUACUGACGCUGAGGUACGAAAGCAUGGGGAGCAAACAGGAUUAGAUACCCUGGUAGUCCAUGCCGUAAACGAUGUCUACUAGCCGUUGGGGCCUUUGAGGCUUUAGUGGCGCAGCUAACGCGAUAAGUAGACCGCCUGGGGAGUACGGUCGCAAGACUAAAACUCAAAUGAAUUGACGGGGGCCCGCACAAGCGGUGGAGCAUGUGGUUUAAUUCGAUGCAACGCGAAGAACCUUACCUGGCCUUGACAUACUAGAAACUUUCCAGAGAUGGAUUGGUGCCUUCGGGAAUCUAGAUACAGGUGCUGCAUGGCUGUCGUCAGCUCGUGUCGUGAGAUGUUGGGUUAAGUCCCGCAACGAGCGCAACCCUUUUCCUUACUUGCCAGCAUUUCGGAUGGGAACUUUAAGGAUACUGCCAGUGACAAACUGGAGGAAGGCGGGGACGACGUCAAGUCAUCAUGGCCCUUACGGCCAGGGCUACACACGUGCUACAAUGGUCGGUACAAAGGGUUGCUACCUAGCGAUAGGAUGCUAAUCUCAAAAAGCCGAUCGUAGUCCGGAUUGGAGUCUGCAACUCGACUCCAUGAGGUCGGAAUCGCUAGUAAUCGCGGAUCAGAAUGCCGCGGUGAAUACGUUCCCGGGCCUUGCACACACCGCCCGU
RNAcentral lists this ribosomal RNA (758 nucleotides) under uncultured bacterium. RNAcentral's name for it is "bacterial SSU rRNA". It matches the Rfam family "Bacterial small subunit ribosomal RNA", at positions 639 to 1397 of the family's 1533-position model. The record is from RNAcentral.